RNAcentral lists this ribosomal RNA (455 nucleotides) under uncultured bacterium. RNAcentral describes it as "bacterial SSU rRNA". It matches the Rfam family "Bacterial small subunit ribosomal RNA", at positions 340 to 786 of the family's 1533-position model. The record is from RNAcentral.
UACGGAAGGCAGCAGUGGGGAAUAUUGCACAAUGGGCGCAAAGCCUGAUGCAGCCAUGCCGCGUGUAUGAAGAAGGCCUUCGGGUUGUAAAGUACUUUCAGUCGUGAAGGAAGGUGUUAAGGUUAAUAACCUUAGCAAUUGACGUUAGCGACAGAAGAAGCACCGGCUAACUCCGUGCCAGCAGCCGCGGUAAUACGGAGGGUGCGAGCGUUAAUCGGAAUUACUGGGCGUAAAGGGCACGCAGGCGGUUAAUUAAGUUGGAUGUGAAAUCCCCGGGCUUAACCUGGGAAUGGCAUUCAAGACUGGUUAGCUAGAGUCUUGUAGAGGGGGUAGAAUUCCAUGUGUAGCGGUGAAAUGCGUAGAGAUGUGGAGGAAUACCGGUGGCGAAGGCGGCCCCUGGACAAAGACUGACGCUCAUGUGCGAAAGCGUGGGGAGCAAACAGGGAUUAGAUACC